UACUGGUUAGCUCAAUCGCUGGAGCGCUCCACUGGGAAUGGAGAGAUCCCUGGUUCGAUACCAAGACCAGGCG
This 73-nucleotide transfer RNA is filed under the name Ixodes scapularis (black-legged tick). Its description in RNAcentral is "tRNA-Pro for anticodon GGG". The record is from RNAcentral. Lineage: Eukaryota; Metazoa; Arthropoda; Arachnida; Ixodida; Ixodidae.